UUCCUACGGGAGGCUGCAGUGGGGAAUCUUGCACAAUGGGGGAAACCCUGAUGCAGCGACGCCGCGUGAGCGAUGAAGCCCUUCGGGGUGUAAAGCUCUUUCGACGGGAACGAUUAUGACGGUACCCGGAGAAGAAGCUGCGGCUAACUACGUGCCAGCAGCCGCGGUAAUAAGUAUGCAGCAAGCGUUGUUCGGAGUUACUGUGCGUAAAGAGUACGUAGGCGGUUUGCUAAGUCUGGUGUGAAAUCUCCUGGCUUAACUGGGAGGGUGCGCUAGAUACUGGCAGGCUUGAGUAGGGGAGAGGAGAGUGGAAUUCCUGGUGUAGCGGUGAAAUGCUUAGAUAUCAGGAGGAACGCCGGUGGUGUAGACGGCUCUCUGGACCAUUACUGACGCUGAGGUACGAAAGCGUGGGUAGCAAACAGGAUUAGAUACCCUUGUAGUCGGC
This 445-nucleotide ribosomal RNA is filed under the name uncultured Bryobacterales bacterium. Its description in RNAcentral is "bacterial SSU rRNA". It matches the Rfam family "Bacterial small subunit ribosomal RNA", at positions 336 to 798 of the family's 1533-position model. Lineage: Bacteria; Pseudomonadati; Acidobacteriota; Terriglobia; Bryobacterales. The record is from RNAcentral.